This 383-nucleotide unclassified non-coding RNA is filed under the name Staphylococcus sp. RNAcentral describes it as "partial 16S-23S ribosomal RNA intergenic spacer". Lineage: Bacteria; Bacillati; Bacillota; Bacilli; Caryophanales; Staphylococcaceae. The record is from RNAcentral.
UGCAUAUCAUUCUAGAUAUAUUCGGACAUCUUCGUAGAAGAUAGAAGGAAUAACAUUGACAUAUUGUAUUCAGUUUUGAAUGUUUAUACAACAUUCAAACCUUUGGUCCUAUUGAAAACUAGGUAAAAGAGCAGCCCUGAAAAUUUUGAGGUCGGUGGUUAAAUUCCAAUAAGGCCCACCAUUUCAUUAUUGUACAUUGAAAACUAGAUAAGUAAGUAAAAUAUAGAUUUUACCAAGCAAAACCGAGUGAAUUAGAGUUUUAAAGCUUGAAUUCAUAAGAAAUAAUCGCUAGUGUUCGAAAGAACACUCACAAGAUUAAUAACGCGUUUCCUGUAGGAUGGAAACAUAGAUUAAGUUAUUAAGGCGCACGGUGAUGCGCCAGU